UCAUCACUCCUCUUAUAACCGAUCAAAAUGCCAACUAGAUUAUUAAUGAAAAUAUUAUUUAAAAAAAAAACAAAAAUAAUUGAAAAAAAAUAAUGCCACUAACAAGACCCUAGAUCUUAAAUUCUAAACCAUAAAUUCUAAGCCCUAAAUCUUAAACCCAAACUCUAAACCCUAAAUUCUAAACCUAAACUCUAAACCCUAAAUCCUAAAUUCAAACUCUAAACUCUAAAUCUUAAACCUAAACUCUAGAUCAUAAACCGAAACUCUUUACCCUAUACCCAAAUCAUAAACCUAAACCCU
RNAcentral lists this long non-coding RNA (300 nucleotides) under Brassica napus (rape). Its description in RNAcentral is "long non-coding RNA (BNAP_LNC021601)". Lineage: Eukaryota; Viridiplantae; Streptophyta; Magnoliopsida; Brassicales; Brassicaceae. The record is from RNAcentral.